UACGAAGGGUGCAAGCGUUAAUCGGAAUUACUGGGCGUAAAGCGUGCGUAGGCGGUUUGUUAAGUCUGCUGUGAAAUCCCCGGGCUCAACCUGGGAAUGGCAGUGGAAACUGGCAAGCUAGAGUGUGGCAGAGGGUGGUGGAAUUCCCGGUGUAGCGGUGAAAUGCGUAGAGAUCGGGAGGAACACCAGUGGCGAAGGCGGCCGCCUGGGCCAACACUGACGCUGAGGCACGAAAGCGUGGGGAGCAAACAGG
RNAcentral lists this ribosomal RNA (253 nucleotides) under uncultured bacterium. RNAcentral describes it as "partial 16S ribosomal RNA". It matches the Rfam family "Bacterial small subunit ribosomal RNA", at positions 524 to 776 of the family's 1533-position model. The record is from RNAcentral.